RNAcentral lists this ribosomal RNA (466 nucleotides) under uncultured bacterium. RNAcentral describes it as "partial 16S ribosomal RNA". It matches the Rfam family "Bacterial small subunit ribosomal RNA", at positions 28 to 507 of the family's 1533-position model. The record is from RNAcentral.
GACGAACGCUGGCGGCGUGCUUAACACAUGCCAGUCGAACGGAAAGGCCCUGCUUGCAGGGUACUCGAGUGGCGAACGGGUGAGUAACACGUGGGUGAUCUGCCCUGCACUUCGGGAUAAGCUUGGGAAACUGGGUCUAAUACCGGAUAGGAGCCAUCUUUAGUGUGGUGGUUGGAAAGUUUUUUCGGUGUAGGAUGAGCUCGCGGCCUAUCAGCUUGUUGGUGGGGUAAUGGCCUACCAAGGCGGCGACGGGUAGCCGGCCUGAGAGGGUGUACGGCCACAUUGGGACCGAGAUACGGCCCAGACUCCUACGGGAGGCAGCAGUGGGGAAUAUUGCACAAUGGGCGCAAGCCUGAUGCAGCGACGCCGCGUGGGGGAUGAAGGCCUUCGGGUUGUAAACUCCUUUCGCUAGGGACGAAGCUUUUUUGUGACGGUACCUAGAUAAGAAGCACCGGCUAACUACGUG